RNAcentral lists this ribosomal RNA (158 nucleotides) under Pterula sp. MB67. Its description in RNAcentral is "5.8S ribosomal RNA". It matches the Rfam family "5.8S ribosomal RNA". From Rfam's summary of the family: 5.8S ribosomal RNA (5.8S rRNA) is a component of the large subunit of the eukaryotic ribosome. The record is from RNAcentral. Lineage: Eukaryota; Fungi; Basidiomycota; Agaricomycetes; Agaricales; Pterulaceae.
CAACUUUCAACAACGGAUCUCUUGGCUCUCGCAUCGAUGAAGAACGCAGCGAAAUGCGAUAAGUAAUGUGAAUUGCAGAUUUCAGUGAAUCAUCGAAUCUUUGAACGCACCUUGCGCUCUUUGGUAUUCCAUAGAGCAUGCCUGUUUGAGUGUCAUUA